UUUAUGGAGAGUUUGAUCCUGGCUCAGGAUGAACGCUGGCGGCGUGCCUAAUACAUGCAAGUCGAGCGAACGGACGAGAAGCUUGCUUCUCUGAUGUUAGCGGCGGACGGGUGAGUAACACGUGGAUAACCUACCUAUAAGACUGGGAUAACUUCGGGAAACCGGAGCUAAUACCGGAUAAUAUUUUGAACCGCAUGGUUCAAAAGUGAAAGACGGUCUUGCUGUCACUUAUAGAUGGAUCCGCGCUGCAUUAGCUAGUUGGUAAGGUAACGGCUUACCAAGGCAACGAUGCAUAGCCGACCUGAGAGGGUGAUCGGCCACACUGGAACUGAGACACGGUCCAGACUCCUACGGGAGGCAGCAGUAGGGAAUCUUCCGCAAUGGGCGAAAGCCUGACGGAGCAACGCCGCGUGAGUGAUGAAGGUCUUCGGAUCGUAAAACUCUGUUAUUAGGGAAGAACAUAUGUGUAAGUAACUGUGCACAUCUUGACGGUACCUAAUCAGAAAGCCACGGCUAACUACGUGCCAGCAGCCGCGGUAAUACGUAGGUGGCAAGCGUUAUCCGGAAUUAUUGGGCGUAAAGCGCGCGUAGGCGGUUUUUUAAGUCUGAUGUGAAAGCCCACGGCUCAACCGUGGAGGGUCAUUGGAAACUGGAAAACUUGAGUGCAGAAGAGGAAAGUGGAAUUCCAUGUGUAGCGGUGAAAUGCGCAGAGAUAUGGAGGAACACCAGUGGCGAAGGCGACUUUCUGGUCUGUAACUGACGCUGAUGUGCGAAAGCGUGGGGAUCAAACAGGA
Molecule: ribosomal RNA, 794 nt
Filed under: Staphylococcus aureus
Lineage: Bacteria; Bacillati; Bacillota; Bacilli; Caryophanales; Staphylococcaceae
Description: bacterial SSU rRNA
Rfam family: Bacterial small subunit ribosomal RNA
Source: RNAcentral